AGCAGCCGCGGUAAUUCCAGCUCCAAUAGCGUAUAUUAAAGUUGUUGCAGUUAAAAAGCUCGUAGUUGAAUUUCGGGAUCAAAUUGUCGGUCGUGCCUCGGUACGAACUGGUAUUAUUGGUUCCUACCUUCUGAAGAACCGCGAUGUCAUUAAUUUGGUGUCGUGGGGAAUCAGGACUGUUACUUUGAAAAAAUUAGAGUGUUUAAAGCAGGCUUACGCUUGAAUACAUUAGCAUGGAAUAAUGAAAUAGGACGUUUGAUUCUAUUUUGUUGGUUUCUAGGAUUGACGUAAUGAUUAAUAGGGAUAGUUGGGGGCAUUAGUAUUCAAUUGUCAGAGGUGAAAUUCUUGGAUUUAUUGAAGACUAACUACUGCGAAAGCAUUUGCCAAGGAUGUUUUCAUUAAUCAAGAACGAAAGUUAGGGGAUCGAAGACGAUCAGAUACCGUCGUAGUCUUAACCAUAAACUAUGCCGACUAGGGAUCGGAUGAUGUUAAUUUUUAAUGACUCAUU
Molecule: ribosomal RNA, 508 nt
Filed under: uncultured Glomus
Lineage: Eukaryota; Fungi; Glomeromycota; Glomeromycetes; Glomerales; Glomeraceae
Description: SSU rRNA
Rfam family: Eukaryotic small subunit ribosomal RNA
Source: RNAcentral